UUGGGUGUAGCUCUGUGGUCAAGCACAUGCUUAGCAUGUGUGAGGCCCUGGGUUCAAUCCCCAGCAUAAAAG
RNAcentral lists this transfer RNA (72 nucleotides) under Heterocephalus glaber (naked mole-rat). It matches the Rfam family "tRNA". Rfam says of the family: Transfer RNA (tRNA) molecules are approximately 80 nucleotides in length. Their secondary structure includes four short double-helical elements and three loops (D, anti-codon, and T loops). The record is from Rfam by way of RNAcentral. Lineage: Eukaryota; Metazoa; Chordata; Mammalia; Rodentia; Bathyergidae.